Molecule: ribosomal RNA, 253 nt
Filed under: uncultured bacterium
Lineage: Bacteria
Description: partial 16S ribosomal RNA
Rfam family: Bacterial small subunit ribosomal RNA
Source: RNAcentral
UACGUAGGGCGCAAGCGUUGUCCGGAAUUAUUGGGCGUAAAGAGCUCGUAGGCGGCUUGUCACGUCGGUUGUGAAAGCCCGGGGCUUAACCCCGGGUCUGCAGUCGAUACGGGCAGGCUAGAGUGUGGUAGGGGAGAUCGGAAUUCCUGGUGUAGCGGUGAAAUGCGCAGAUAUCAGGAGGAACACCGGUGGCGAAGGCGGAUCUCUGGGCCAUUACUGACGCUGAGGAGCGAAGGCGUGGGGAGCGAACGGG